This 916-nucleotide ribosomal RNA is filed under the name Lewinia striata. Its description in RNAcentral is "partial 16S ribosomal RNA". It matches the Rfam family "Bacterial large subunit ribosomal RNA", at positions 849 to 2472 of the family's 2925-position model. Lineage: Eukaryota; Metazoa; Chordata; Aves; Gruiformes; Rallidae. The record is from RNAcentral.
GCUGGUUGCCCGCGAAACGAAUAUAAGUUCUCCCUUAAUUUUACCCCCCAGACUCGACUACUUACUCGUAGCAAAUUAAGAGUAAUUUAAAGGAGGUACAGCUCCUUUAAAACAGAACACAACCUUCCCCAGAGGAUAAACCAAACACCUUAAAAUUGUAGGCCUUCAAGCAGCCACCAACAGAGAGUGCGUCAAAGCUCAUUACCCUAAAAAAUAAUAGACCCUAUGUGACUCCCUCAUUCAUAGCGAGCUAACCUAUCAAAAAUAGGAGAAUUAAUGCUAAAAUAAGUAACUAAGGAAUAAUCCUCUAAAGCACAAACUUACAUCCCACAUUAUUAACAGGCCAAUUAAUAACUCAACCACUACAAGACUAACUAUUUAACAUCCUGUUAAGCCAACCCAGGAGUGCUUAGCUAGAAAGAUUCAAACCUGUAAAAGGAAUUAGGCAAACCCAAGGCCCGACUGUUUACCAAAAACAUAGCCUUCAGCGAAACCAAGUAUUGAAGGUGGCGCCUGCCCAGUGACACCAAGUUCAACGGCCGCGGUAUCCUAACCGUGCAAAGGUAGCGCAAUCAAUUGUCCCAUAAAUCGAGACUUGUAUGAACGGCUAAACGAGGUCUUAACUGUCUCUUACAGGUAAUCAGUGAAAUUGAUCUCCCCGUGCAAAAGCAGGGAUAAACCCAUAAGACGAGAAGACCCUGUGGAACUUAAAAACCAGCAGCCACUCUACAAACCAAACAUACCCAACGGGUUUACCAUCAAUAGAUGAUUGGCUCCCGUUUUUCGGUUGGGGCGACCUUGGAGAAAAACGUAUCCUCCAAAAAUAAGACCACCCCUCUUGACCAAGAUCAACCACUCAAAGUACUAAUAGUAACCMGACCCAGCAUAGCUGACCAAUGAACCAAGCUACCCCAGG